GGCGAACGGGUGAGUAACACGUGGGUGAUCUGCCUUGCACUCUGGGAUAAGCUUGGGAAACUGGGUCUAAUACCGGAUAGGAACCGUCUUUAGUGUGGUGGUUGGAAAGUUUUUUCGGUGCAAGAUGAGCUCGCGGCCCAUCAGCUUGUUGGUGGGGUAAUGGCCUACCAAGGCGUCGACGGGUAGCCGGCCUGAGAGGGUGUACGGCCACAUUGGGACUGAGAUACGGCCCAG
RNAcentral lists this ribosomal RNA (234 nucleotides) under uncultured Actinomycetales bacterium. RNAcentral describes it as "partial 16S ribosomal RNA". It matches the Rfam family "Bacterial small subunit ribosomal RNA", at positions 97 to 334 of the family's 1533-position model. Lineage: Bacteria; Bacillati; Actinomycetota; Actinomycetes; Actinomycetales. The record is from RNAcentral.